GGCUCUCAGGCCAGCUGUGCUCCUUCCCUUCCCCUGACUGCUUCAGCUAUGCCACUUACUGUCCGACAACUGCUCCACUAUUUUAUGGCCCAAUUUCCAUUCACUUUCUCUAGUCUUCUCUAAGUCUGUGUGAGUAUAAGUUCAUUAGCAUAAGUUAAAAUUAUUGUCCUUGCGAUUAAUCGCUAAUUCAGAGAAUGUUUGUCUUCUUUACAAAUUAUGUAAGCCCCCAAGAAUAUAAAAAUGAUAUUCCCUCAGUAUGUUCUACUGUGGGGAAUAAGAAGUACUGAGACACAUCCAACUUUUGGCUCAUGCAUUCAUUACUGCGCCUUAACCAAAAUAUGUGGCCAUUUUUCUCAGCAGAGACAUGAAUAGAACAUAAUACUAACUCCUUUUGUUGAAAGGGUAUUUGGCUAUGGAAAAGAGAGAUCAAAUGCAAAAGCUGACUAAGAGCAUAAAAAGUUGCUGUCACUUCUGAUGGAGACAUAUGCAGUAUUUUUCAUUUUAAAAGUGUCCCCCAAAAAAAUGAAUGAAAGGAGUCACAACUAGUAAACUCAACUGUACAUCCACUAAUUACAUUCUGUUUCAGGUACUUAUAUAACUGUAAGGAUGUGAUACUACGAAGGAACACAGCGGGAAGCCUGGGCUUCUGCAUUGUGGGAGGUUAUGAAGAAUACAGUGGUAACCAACCUUUUUUUAUCAAAUCCAUCGUCGAGGGAACACCCGCGUAUAAUGAUGGAAGAAUUAGAUGUGGUGACAUUCUUCUUGCUGUCAACGGCAGAAGCACGUCGGGGAUGAUGCACGCCUGCUUAGCGAGGAUGCUCAAAGAACUCAAAGGGAAAAUUACUCUCACCAUUGCUUCCUGGCCUGGUACUUUUUUAUAAAACCAAUGAUGGAUCUUAGAAAAACCACAAAUAGGCUAGAUAAAAUUGUAUUUAUCUUGUCGAUUUUUAUAUUUAAAGAAUAUAUUGUAAAAAAAAAAAGCCAGAAAAAGUAUGACUUAUGAAAACAAGUUACACAUCAGAGAAUGUUCUCAAAAAUAAAAACUAAUGUUAAUUUUUAUUUGGUGUGGAGGAUUUCUCAUCACUCCAAAUCUUUUAAGUUUCUAUUUUUUUAAUUCAAUAAAAAGCCCAUAAAAACUUACAUGGUUUGUAUGCCACACUUAAUUCAAGGCAACGUCAAAUGUGGUAGAAGUGGAGUUGAAGACACAGCACAUUAUGGCCAUUUCAGUUUAAUGGCGGAGGAUUUGAACAAGAGAUGAAUAUCUUCUUCUAAGUGACCGCAGUCCUCUUACUGGUGGCUCUAACUGCCUCGUCCUUUCACACACAUUCCCAGCCCCACCGCUGCUCUGGAACCUUCUUGGGGUUAGUCCAGAUUUUAACCUGGAGUUCUGGUUUUAGUAAGAAUGACUGAUCUGACACUACUCUCA
Molecule: long non-coding RNA, 1426 nt
Filed under: Rattus norvegicus (Norway rat)
Lineage: Eukaryota; Metazoa; Chordata; Mammalia; Rodentia; Muridae
Description: long non-coding RNA NONRATT009317
Source: RNAcentral